This 301-nucleotide ribosomal RNA is filed under the name uncultured bacterium. RNAcentral's name for it is "partial 16S ribosomal RNA". It matches the Rfam family "Bacterial small subunit ribosomal RNA", at positions 509 to 807 of the family's 1533-position model. The record is from RNAcentral.
CAGCAGCCGCGGUAAUACGAAGGGGGCUAGCGUUGUUCGGAUUUACUGGGCGUAAAGCGCACGUAGGCGGAUAUUUAAGUCAGGGGUGAAAUCCCAGAGCUCAACUCUGGAACUGCCUUUGAUACUGGGUAUCUUGAGUAUGGAAGAGGUGAGUGGAAUUCCGAGUGUAGAGGUGAAAUUCGUAGAUAUUCGGAGGAACACCAGCGGCGAAGGCGGCUCACUGGUCCAUUACUGACGCUGAGGUGCGAAAGCGUGGGGAGCAAACAGGAUUAGAUACCCCCGUAGUCCCUGUCUCUUAUAC